UCCCCCAGGUUCCGGGCACUUUCCGGUGCGGGGGCAGGGCAGGCAGGCAGGGAGGGAGCCUGCCCUGCCCUGCCCUGCCCUGCCCUGCCCUGCCCCCGGUGCGCACCAGGCUGGAGCCGCUCUAGCAGGAUCGGGGGAAAGGCAUAGAGCACCUGGCCCUACCAGGAUAGGAGGAAGGCAUCAGAGAUGGCGCCCACGCCCAAUGCCCCCCGGAGCAGAAGCGGGGACACUGGCGGUUCUGCUGUUUCGCGAACAGGUCCACCUGGGGAGUGCCCCACUUUUGGGAAAUCCACCUCUGGGUGUAGUGACCACUCGGGCCGAGAGGAGAAGGCACUCGGCCCAGAGUGGUGCACAUGGACAGGAGUGCCACAUAGUCCUGCACCUGCAACCUUAAGCUGCCCUUGACCAGCCAGUCAUCAAGAUAGGGGAAGAUCUGGACCCCCCCCAACCCCGACAUCUGAGGGCCUUGCCAUCAGACGGAAGGUUCUGUAACGAGUUCUGCACCUCGCUGAACAACCCAGACAGCAGGAGCUACGAUGCCCUCCUCAUGGAUACUGCAGAGGCCAUGGACCUUGCAGCCGAAUCUGCACCAUUGGAGGCUGCCUGAAGGGCUGCCCUGGCAGCAGCCAUACCCUCUUCCACCAGAGCCCUGAACUCCUUUUUGUCACGCUUUUGGAGGGAGUCCUCGAAUUUGGGCAGAGAGCCCUACAAACUGAACUCAUACCUCCCCAGGAGGGCCUGGUGCUUCGCCACCCUUAAUUGGAAACUGGAGGAUGAAUAAACUUUUCUGUCAAAUAGA
Long non-coding RNA from Caretta caretta (loggerhead turtle), 799 nucleotides. RefSeq lists it as uncharacterized. The record is from RefSeq and is a predicted model, not a curated record. NCBI's taxonomy places the organism in Eukaryota, Metazoa, Chordata, Testudines, Cheloniidae.